AAGAACCUGAAACCGUGUACGUACAAGCAGUGGGAGCACAGGUUUACCUGUGUGACUGCGUACCUUUUGUAUAAUGGGUCAGCGACUUAUAUUCUGUAGCAAGGUUAACCGUAUAGGGGAGCCGUAGGGAAACCGAGUCUUAACCGGGCGUUAAGUUGCAGGGUAUAGACCCGAAACCCGGUGAUCUAGCCAUGGGCAGGUUGAAGGUUGGGUAACACUAACUGGAGGACCGAACCGACUAAUGUUGAAAAAUUAGCGGAUGACCUGUGGCUGGGGGUGAAAGGCCAAUCAAACCGGGAGAUAGCUGGUUCUCCCCGAAAGCUAUUUAGGUAGCGCCUCGUGAAUUCAUCUCCGGGGGUAGAGCACUGUUUCGGCUAGGGGGCCAUCCCGGCUUACCAACCCGAUGCAAACUGCGAAUACCGGAGAAUGUUAUCACGGGAGACACACGGCGGGUGCUAACGUCCGUCGUGAAGAGGGAAACAACCCAGACCGCCAGCUAAGGUCCCAAAGUCAUGGUUAAGUGGGAAACGAUGUGGGAAGGCCCAGACAGCCAGGAUGUUGGCUUAGAAGCAGCCAUCAUUUAAAGAAAGCGUAAUAGCUCACUGGUCGAGUCGGCCUGCGCGGAAGAUGUAACGGGGCUAAACCAUGCACCGAAGCUGCGGCAGCGAACGUAUCACCCAAGACAACUUUACGGAGUUGACGAUUGACGGAGCGAAGCGACGUCAAAGCGUUCAUUAAAGUCGAGUUGGCUUAGGGAUACGUUCGUUGGGUAGGGGAGCGUUCUGUAAGCCUGUGAAGGUGUGUCGUGAGGCAUGCUGGAGGUAUCAGAAGUGCGAAUGCUGACAUAAGUAACGAUAAAGCGGGUGAAAAGCCCGCUCGCCGGAAGACCAAGGGUUCCUGUCCAACGUUAAUCGGGGCAGGGUGAGUCGACCCCUAAGGCGAGGCCGAAAGGCGUAGUCGAUGGGAAACGGGUUAAUAUUCCCGUACUUGGUGUUACUGCGAAGGGGGGACGGAGAAGGCUAUGUUGGCCGGGCGACGGUUGUCCCGGUUUAAGCGUGUAGGUGUGUGUUCCAGGUAAAUCCGGUUCACUUUAACACUGAGGCGUGACGACGAGGCACUACGGUGCUGAAGCAACAAAUGCCCUGCUUCCAGGAAAAGCCUCUAAGCAUCAGGUAACACGAAAUCGUACCCCAAACCGACACAGGUGGUCAGGUAGAGAAUACCAAGGCGCUUGAGAGAACUCGGGUGAAGGAACUAGGCAAAAUGGUGCCGUAACUUCGGGAGAAGGCACGCUGACACGUAGGUGAAGUGAUUUACUCAUGGAGCUGAAGUCAGUCGAAGAUACCAGCUGGCUGCAACUGUUUAUUAAAAACACAGCACUGUGCAAACACGAAAGUGGACGUAUACGGUGUGACGCCUGCCCGGUGCCGGAAGGUUAAUUGAUGGGGUCAGCGCAAGCGAAGCUCCUGAUCGAAGCCCCGGUAAACGGCGGCCGUAACUAUAACGGUCCUAAGGUAGCGAAAUUCCUUGUCGGGUAAGUUCCGACCUGCACGAAUGGCGUAAUGAUGGCCAGGCUGUCUCCACCCGAGACUCAGUGAAAUUGAACUCGCUGUGAAGAUGCAGUGUACCCGCGGCAAGACGGAAAGACCCCGUGAACCUUUACUAUAGCUUGACACUGAACAUUGAGCCUUGAUGUGUAGGAUAGGUGGGAGGCUUUGAAGUGUGGACGCCAGUCUGCAUGGAGCCGACCUUGAAAUACCACCCUUUAAUGUUUGAUGUUCUAACGUGGACCCGUAAUCCGGGUUGCGGACAGUGUCUGGUGGGUAGUUUGACUGGGGCGGUCUCCUCCUAAAGAGUAACGGAGGAGCACGAAGGUUGGCUAAUCCUGGUCGGACAUCAGGAGGUUAGUGCAAUGGCAUAAGCCAGCUUGACUGCGAGCGUGACGGCGCGAGCAGGUGCGAAAGCAGGUCAUAGUGAUCCGGUGGUUCUGAAUGGAAGGGCCAUCGCUCAACGGAUAAAAGGUACUCCGGGGAUAACAGGCUGAUACCGCCCAAGAGUUCAUAUCGACGGCGGUGUUUGGCACCUCGAUGUCGGCUCAUCACAUCCUGGGGCUGAAGUAGGUCCCAAGGGUAUGGCUGUUCGCCAUUUAAAGUGGUACGCGAGCUGGGUUUAGAACGUCGUGAGACAGUUCGGUCCCUAUCUGCCGUGGGCGCUGGAGAACUGAGGGGGGCUGCUCCUAGUACGAGAGGACCGGAGUGGACGCAUCACUGGUGUUCGGGUUGUCAUGCCAAUGGCACUGCCCGGUAGCUAAAUGCGGAAGAGAUAAGUGCUGAAAGCAUCUAAGCACGAAACUUGCCCCGAGAUGAGUUCUCCCUGAGACUUAG
Molecule: ribosomal RNA, 2384 nt
Filed under: Salmonella enterica subsp. enterica serovar Typhimurium
Lineage: Bacteria; Pseudomonadati; Pseudomonadota; Gammaproteobacteria; Enterobacterales; Enterobacteriaceae
Description: partial 23S ribosomal RNA
Rfam family: Bacterial large subunit ribosomal RNA
Source: RNAcentral